GUGACCUCGGGUCGGACGAGAUUACCCGCUGAACUUAAGCAUAUCAAUAAGCGGAGGAA
Molecule: ribosomal RNA, 59 nt
Filed under: Phaeoisaria sp. LM-2018a
Lineage: Eukaryota; Fungi; Ascomycota; Sordariomycetes; Pleurotheciales; Pleurotheciaceae
Description: partial 28S ribosomal RNA
Rfam family: Eukaryotic large subunit ribosomal RNA
Source: RNAcentral